Molecule: ribosomal RNA, 629 nt
Filed under: Nocardia farcinica
Lineage: Bacteria; Bacillati; Actinomycetota; Actinomycetes; Mycobacteriales; Nocardiaceae
Description: bacterial SSU rRNA
Rfam family: Bacterial small subunit ribosomal RNA
Source: RNAcentral
AACGGGUGAGUAACACGUGGGUGAUCUGCCCUGUACUUCGGGAUAAGCCUGGGAAACUGGGUCUAAUACCGGAUAUGACCUUACAUCGCAUGGUGUUUGGUGGAAAGAUUUAUCGGUACAGGAUGGGCCCGCGGCCUAUCAGCUUGUUGGUGGGGUAAUGGCCUACCAAGGCGACGACGGGUAGCCGGCCUGAGAGGGCGACCGGCCACACUGGGACUGAGACACGGCCCAGACUCCUACGGGAGGCAGCAGUGGGGAAUAUUGCACAAUGGGCGAAAGCCUGAUGCAGCGACGCCGCGUGAGGGAUGACGGCCUUCGGGUUGUAAACCUCUUUCGACAGGGACGAAGCGCAAGUGACGGUACCUGUAGAAGAAGCACCGGCCAACUACGUGCCAGCAGCCGCGGUAAUACGUAGGGUGCGAGCGUUGUCCGGAAUUACUGGGCGUAAAGAGCUUGUAGGCGGUUUGUCGCGUCGUCCGUGAAACUUGGGGCUCAACCCCAAGCUUGCGGGCGAUACGGGCAGACUUGAGUACUGCAAGGGAGACUGGAAUUCCUGGUGUAGCGGUGAAAUGCGCAGAUAUCAGGAGGAACACCGGUGGCGAAGGCGGGAUCUCUGGGCAGUAACUGAC